AUGAGUUUUGGACGGAAUGAAAUUUUCCUCCUGACUCUUUUACGAGGUGUCCAUUGUGAUGUUCAGCUGGUAGAGUCUGGGGGUGAUGUGAGGCAGCCUGGAGGAUCUCUUAGCCUUUCCUCCAAAGCUUCUGGAUUCACCUUCAGCAUCUAUUACAUUAGCUGGGUUCUGCAGGCUCCAGGGAAAGGUCUCGAGUGGCACGCAUCUAUUUAUAGUAACGUAGGAAAAACAUUCUAUCCAGACUCUGUGAAAGGCAGAUUAACCAUCUCCCUAAACUACAGCAACGAUGUGCUGCAACUGCAAGUGAAUUCCCUUAAAGCUGAGGACACAGCCAUGUAUUAG
This is a non-coding RNA of Phascolarctos cinereus (koala), 342 nucleotides long. NCBI's taxonomy places the organism in Eukaryota, Metazoa, Chordata, Mammalia, Diprotodontia, Phascolarctidae. The record is from the annotation of a RefSeq genome assembly.